ACACUUGAUAUAGGCAUGUAGUUGGUUAAAACUGAUAGAUAAUAUAGAAGGUAUACCUUUUCCUCAGCAGACAAAGUGCGGCUAAUUUGUGGAUGAUUGUUUUGCAGAUGUGAAUUUCUUUGGGCUAUAAGUGUUCCUUAGAUGAUUUGAGUUGGGAAUUGUGUCGAAAAUGAGUUGAAAGACCAAUCUAGGGGUCUACAAAGCAAAAACCACCUGUCUCGCUGCAAUUAUACUUGGGGUUAUGAAUCAGAUGAGGUAUCCAGAGUAAAACCGGAUACCUCAUCUGAUCGAUCACACGACUUUGCCCCUUUGAUUGGAGCUGCCGGGAUGUCUGAUUAACACCAUCAAUCAACACAAAUGUAAUAAAUGUGAGUCUGUUGUCUGAAAGUUUGAGUGAGUGAGCCAGUAGAAGGAUCUAUACAAACAUUAAAUAGAAGUGUAGUCUUAAAAAGCCACUUACAAUUCUCAGAAAAUAAAGCCAGCAUGGCCUGGUAUGCUCUUAGUGUGUGAAUGCCAUCUAUUAUCAGUGCAUUGAAAGAAAGUAGGAAAGAAAGAACAGUGAGUGUAUGAGGGCAGGGUUUCUUUUAGAGGCCAAGAAGAGGAGCUGAAAUACGUUAGAAAUUAGAACCAAUUCAGUUCAUUAUCAGCUGCUGGUUUUCAUUCCUCGAGUUCCCUUGAGAAAAGUGCUGAACUCACAAGAGAUCAACUGGAGCUUCUGACACCAGAUUGCUUAGGCCUUCAGCGAUGUUAAAGACUCCAGUAGAGAUUACCCAGAGUGCCGCUGGCUUAAGGAUCGACCAGGAAGAGCUGAAAGAAGGCGAGGCUGGGAAAACGAAGGGCAGUGUUUGGAUGAGGAGGUGAACCCUCAGGAGGAGCCAGAACCCGCAAAGAGCCUCCCGGUAGAGGAAGAGCAAUUGAGCGCCUCU
This 926-nucleotide long non-coding RNA is filed under the name Oryzias sinensis (Chinese medaka). RNAcentral describes it as "lncRNA (ENSOSIG00000008357.1)". Lineage: Eukaryota; Metazoa; Chordata; Actinopteri; Beloniformes; Adrianichthyidae. The record is from RNAcentral.